CCGCAGCCCGAGUGGUGAUCGAUUUUAUUGAGCCUAAAGCGUCCGUAGCCGGACUAGUAAACCCUUGGGUAAAUUGGGCAGCUUAACUGUCCAAAUUCCGAGGGGACUGCUAGUCUUGGGACCGGGAGAGGUCAGAGGUACUCAAGGGGUAGGGGCUAAAUCCUGUAAUCCUUUGGGGACCACCAGUGGCGAAGGCGUCUGACUAGAACGGAUCCGACGGUAAGGGACGAAACCCUGGGGCGCGAACCGGAUUAGAUACCCGAGUAGUCC
This 270-nucleotide ribosomal RNA is filed under the name uncultured archaeon. RNAcentral describes it as "partial 16S ribosomal RNA". It matches the Rfam family "Archaeal small subunit ribosomal RNA", at positions 477 to 747 of the family's 1478-position model. The record is from RNAcentral.